CUAAAUUACCAGAUCUGGCAAGAACUCACUAUCACCAAGACAACACCAGGCCCUGAGGGACCUGGUGUUUUGGAUCAUGACCCCAUGAUCCAAAGACAUCCUACCAGGCCCCACCUCCAGCAUUGGGGAUUACAGUUCGACAUGAGAUUUGGGCAGGGACAAGGAUCCAAACAAUAUCACCUGUUUUCUUAUAUCCCUAAAUGAUGUGUUCUUAUUAUUGCUUGUUCAUGACUGACCUUACAUUAUGCAUACAUUUGUCUAAUUUUAAAAACUGCCAAGCUGGGUGCAGUGGCUCACGCUUGUAAUCCCAGCACUUUGGCAGGCCAAGGCUGGAGGAUCUCUUGACCCCAGGAGUUCAAGACCAGCCUGGCCAACAUGGAGAAACCCUGUCUCUACAAAAAUACAAAAAUUAGUGAGUGUGAUGGUCUGCGCCUAUAGUCUCAGCUACUUGGGAGGCUGAGGUGGGAGAAUCACUUGAUCCCAGGAAGUUGGGGCUGCAGUGAAGCAAGAUAGUGCCACUGCACUCCAGCCUGGGAAACAGAGUGAGAUCUUGUCUCAAAAAAAAAAAAACAAUAAACAAAAUUGCCCGUCACCCCCACUAGAAUGCUAGAAUGAAAGCCGUGUAGGCAGAGACUUGGUCUUAUGUGCAGCUGUAUUCCUAGUGCCUGGCCAGUGCUCAGCACAGAGGAGAUCCUCAGGAAAUAUGAGAAUAAGCUUUUUUGUUUAAAUUCUUGCCCUAAACCAACAUUUUUCUUUUUUUCUUUUCUUUCUUCUUCUUUUUUUUUUUUUUUGCCUUUGACAUGCUGCUAUUCUUCCAUAUCAAAUUCAUGGCCAACUUUAUUUUUAUUUUGUGUAGAAUUGUUUUAUAACAGCAAGUGAAAAGCACAAACUCCAUUAUAGAUUGUACUUUCUUGGGAAAUGGAUUCAAAGAGGACUUUUUGGCUGGGUGCUUUGGCUUGUAGUGCCAAGCCUGCUUGUUUUUCUCAAAUCCUUUGGACUUUUCCAUGUGUUGAACAUUUUAUUUCAGUGUGUUCAAUGCUUUCACCAGCUCACUCAGUGACCCAUGUGGAAGACUGCAGCAUAUAACUUUAUUUGGUUCUGUACAUAUGACUGUUUACUAUUUACUAGAUGUCUCUACCUGAUAGCCAGGGGACAUCUCAAACUCAGUGUCUAAAAUGUAGCUCAAUCUGUCUGGCUUUCUAAACCUGCUCCUUCUCCUGCUUUUCUUAUACCAAUGAUUGGACUAAGAAUCCAUCCCGUUACCCAAUAUCUACCUGGGAUUUCAAGCCUGAGACCCAGAUUCAUUCAUGACUCCUCCCUCUCCUCUUCUUUUCCAAUCCAGCCAUCACCGAGUUGCUGCCUCUGCUUUCUAAUUGCGUCUUGAAUCUGUCCUUUAUUCUCCAUUGCUGCAACCGUAACUCGCCUCUGUUCCUUAUAACUGAUUCCUCCAAUAUUGUCCCCGCCUCCAAAUGCAUUUUCCUCACAACAGCAUGAGUGAUAACUUUAAAUGUGAAUCCAAUUAUGUCCUCUAGUUCCCUCUGCUUAAAAUCAUUCAAUGGCACCCCACUACCCUGGGUUAAAGAUUAAACACAUUUAUCUGGCCUGUUUAUCUAUCCCGUUUUAUUUCACCCCACCCACCAACUUCUUUCAGUUUCUUGAAUGUGCCUGGCCAGUACCUGGAACUUUCUUCCCCUAACCUUUAUUUGGAUAAUUUUGACCAAUCUCCUGGGCCUCAGCGCAGAUAUCAUUACGUCCAGGAAGCCUCCUUGAAGUCCUCUCUGCUGUGAGUCUACAGCACACUCUAUUUGCCCAUCAUGCAGGGCAUUGGGUAUUACAUGGUAAUUUCACUGUCAAUUAUGAGGACAGGGAUAUGUCUCUCUUGUUAAUUAUAACCUUUCCCAGGCCUAGCAUAAUGUCUGGACAAAGGAGGAGCUCAGUUCACAUUUGUCGAAUAAGAGAAUCCGUUUUGUUUCACACGCCAGUCUUCUUGCUUGCUUGUCUGUGGAACAUCUUCCACAUAUUUGCAAUUGCAUCUUCCCAGGCAAGCUUUUCUGGAUUCUCCGGUUACUGGUUUAUGCCUUGCCUCUCCUGCUAGAUUGCAUUCUCUCAGAAGGCAGAGAUUCUGACUUAUGUUUCUUAUUUCCUACACCACACAGGUAUAGCACCACACACAUAAAAGACAACCAAUGCAUUUAUUAUUGAAUUGGCUAAUUUGUAUUCAGUGCCCAUGAAUACAAAGCAUAUGCAAAUUAAUUCAAUAAAAAUAUAUUGAGCACUUUCUAUGUAUCAAUACCCCCAGCUAUUAGACUCUUAAGCAAUUUUAAAGUUCCUCACCUUGUUAAAUUCCUAACCAAUUUCAAAUAUAACAAAGCUCUUUUCCUAUAAUGUGUCUCUAGAAAAAGUGUAAUUUGAUUCAAAAUUGAAGUAAUUGAGCUCAAUGAG
This 2442-nucleotide long non-coding RNA is filed under the name Homo sapiens (human). Its description in RNAcentral is "HSALNT0019802". Lineage: Eukaryota; Metazoa; Chordata; Mammalia; Primates; Hominidae. The record is from RNAcentral.